Long non-coding RNA from Nasonia vitripennis (jewel wasp), 182 nucleotides. RefSeq lists it as uncharacterized. The transcript has 2 exons. The record is from RefSeq and is a predicted model, not a curated record. NCBI's taxonomy places the organism in Eukaryota, Metazoa, Arthropoda, Insecta, Hymenoptera, Pteromalidae.
CAUACCGUACAACUUGCUGCAACCACCAAUACUUAAAGUCGAAGAACCUGUUAUCGAGCUCCAGGAUGAAGACGAUGAAAUACAAGUUGUUGGAUUUACAAUUCAUGCCAACAUAAUGCCACCAAAUCAAUUAAAAAGCGAGUUAAACGCUGAAUCGUCGAAUAAUGAUGAUUUAUCAGAAU